AUGGCAUCCUUACUUUUUGCAUGACUUAGCAUGCAUCAUGGAGUCGCCGAUACAGAAGUAGCCGUGCUCGCUUUCAGAGCACCCUGAGUUGCGUAUCGCAUCUCAAGCAGUUCAUGCUCUGGAUGUCAUUAUAAACCAGCUGCCGGAGCCCCCUCACAUGGGAUUGGGCCCUGAUAUGUCGCCGGAUGAGAGUUUCAAAGGACUAACAAGUCAGCAGUCAGCAUUGCUGGACAGGGACCCGCUGCUGCCACAUCUGGAUGCAGCCUACCUCUGGUGGAGAUUCAGUGAGGAAUGUUCAGUGUUGGCCGAUAUGACAUCUCCAGUGAAGCAGCACUACCCUCACCAUCACCGGGACAGGACUUGCUCCUUGAUGUCAAGGAGGUCACCUUGUACACACAGGUCUCAGACAUGCUUGGAAAAAUCUACUUGUCUGAGGCCGACAACAUUACUGUACAAAAGGAGAUCCAUGGCAUUCUAUGGGAUGUUGCACACCAGCCUCUUGUAUGCCUGCGAGCACAGUGGAAAAGUGUGCAACACCCUUUUGCCAUGGAUCUCCUUUGACCGAGGCCAAAGCCACUUCAACGCCGAAGUAGCGACAAAACCUGUAGGAUCUGAGGCAUCACCUCAGAAAACUGUGCCAAGCAGUUCUCGAUCUCAGCUAUGUAUCUGCGAUCCUCCAUUUUGCCAUCCGUUAAGCGUACUGUGUGGUGUGCCGCCACUCGGUCCAGCCCGGGCAGCCAUGUCCUGCCGUUUGCGUAUCACUUGUAUGUCCCGUUCUUGUGCUUUGGAGAGAAAUUCUUUAUCGUUAUUUGGAGUGCUUUUUGGUUUCGUUUUGUUAUACACGCAGUCACUGUAGCAUCGCUGGGCUAUACAUGCAGG
Molecule: long non-coding RNA, 879 nt
Filed under: Volvox carteri
Lineage: Eukaryota; Viridiplantae; Chlorophyta; Chlorophyceae; Chlamydomonadales; Volvocaceae
Description: long non-coding RNA (VCAR_LNC001224)
Source: RNAcentral